GCUGUUAGCCGAUAGAAUACUCAUAGAUGAGGAGCCAUCAGAAGAGUCCAGCUAACACAGAUGACAAUUCACCACCGAGAAGCUCAGGGAAGAAACUCAAACAGGAAUGCAACGCAGAAACCAUGGAGGAAUUAAUGCUACUUGCUGACUUCCUUUCUGGCUCACUUACUGGUUCAGACACUGACUCGUGCUUAGCUAAUUUUCUUCUACAUCGCAAGAUUACCUGCUCAGGGCUGGUUCCUUCUACCAUGAGCUAGACCCUCUUGCAUUAGCAUCUGAGAAAAUCGCCCACAGACUAUCAUCUAGACCAUUCCUCAACAGAGGCUUUCCCCUGAAGAUGGCUAGGUUAUGGAUAUGUGAAGAAAAGUCAAAGAAAAUAGCAAUUGCAAAAUGAACUACCAAUGCUUUAAAUAUGUCAUGAUCUCAUACAAUUCAAUUAAAUGAACCUGAUGAAAAGGGGAUUAAAGAUGGUAUCUCAGAUCCAAACCAUAGCAAGUUACAGUCCGGAGUCAAACAAAUGGUUUAUUUCCCUCUGCAUCUUUUCCUGUAAUUAUUUCCUUAACUCAUGGCUGUCACUUUGACUUUAAGGCAAAAGCAGAGGAAAUGUGGUGUUUGAAUUUAUGCCAGAGCAAUUUUUUCCUGCCUUGGAGAAAGAUAAUAUUUCUAAAGUCUGUAAUAGUUUCUUGACAUGCCUUGGAGAAUCAAUGGUCUAUUAUUUGAAAGAGGAGAAAAGGAGCGGCCCAGCUCUAAAGAAAGCUUGCCAACCACUUGACUACGAGGACACUGAUUACCAAGAUGGCUCGGCAUGCCCUGGAUGCCCACCCGAGGUCCAUUCCAGCUGUCCUGGCGAUCCCGUCCAAGAAGCAUCCCUACGAUGCAGCCAAAAGACUCCAUCCUGCACAGUGCCAAGGGACUGCAGGCAAAUAAGCAAUAUCCUGCCUCUUUGGCAAAUAAUGGAUCGUUUGGCUUCCUGAACUUCUGCAUAGAUUGUGUGUCUCUCCCUGCGUUUACUUAACAUCUUGAGCAGAAAUGAUGGAAUUAGAGUGAUUUCUUACUGGAAACCAAGCACAGAGAGGAGCAAGUGCUGACUACUUUGGCCACGGUGCAAGAUAAAACAGAUGUCCAGAAAAGUCACUCCCUCACAUUACUUUAAAAUAUAUGUUUCACCGAUCUUCUUUAUCGCAGAAAAAAUUCUUUCCAACUCAUCCUUUCUGUUGCUGAUCUUAUAAGCACCCAUAUCAAAUUAUAGAUUUGAAAUAGAAGAGUCACCCUAGACCUCUAAUGUCAAGUGAGAGUGUAAAUAAAUCAAGUAAAAUUGCUUUGCCUUUACUAUUAAAUAAAACAUUAUGGAAGCAU
This 1356-nucleotide long non-coding RNA is filed under the name Mus musculus (house mouse). RNAcentral's name for it is "RIKEN cDNA 1700041M19 gene". Lineage: Eukaryota; Metazoa; Chordata; Mammalia; Rodentia; Muridae. The record is from RNAcentral.